CAGCCGCCACGGGAAUACGGAGGGUGCAAGCGUUAAUCGGAAUUACUGGGCGUAGAGCGCACGCAGGCGGUCUGACAAGUCAGAUGUGAAAUCCCCGGGCUUAACCUGGGAGCUGCAUUUGAAACUGUCAGGCUGGAGUCUUGUAGAGGGGGGUGGAAUUCCAGGUGUAGCGGUGAAAUGCGUAGAGAUCUGGAGGAAUACCGGUGGCGAAGGCGGCCCCCUGGACAAAGACUGACGCUCAGGUGCGAAAGCGUGGGGAGCAAACAGGAUUAGAUACCCGGGUAGUCCCUGUCUCUUAUAC
Molecule: ribosomal RNA, 301 nt
Filed under: uncultured bacterium
Lineage: Bacteria
Description: partial 16S ribosomal RNA
Rfam family: Bacterial small subunit ribosomal RNA
Source: RNAcentral